GACGAACGCUGGCGGCGUGCUUAACACAUGCAAGUCGAACGGAAAGGCCCUGCUUUUGUGGGGUGCUCGAGUGGCGAACGGGUGAGUAACACGUGAGUAACCUGCCCUUGACUUUGGGAUAACUUCAGGAAACUGGGGCUAUACCGGAUAGGAGCUCCUGCUGCCUGGUGGGGGUUGGAAAGUUUCGGCGGUUGGGGAUGGACUCGCGGCUUAUCAGCUUGUUGGUGGGGUAGUGGCUUACCAAGGCUUUGACGGGUAGCCGGCCUGAGAGGGUGACCGGCCACAUUGGGACUGAGAUACGGCCCAGACUCCUACGGGAGGCAGCAGUGGGGAAUAUUGCACAAUGGGCGGAAGCCUGAUGCAGCAACGCCGCGUGCGGGAUGACGGCCUUCGGGUUGUAAACCGCUUUCGCCUGUGACGAAGCGUGAGUGACGGUAAUGGGUAAAGAAGCACCGGCUAACUACGUG
This 467-nucleotide ribosomal RNA is filed under the name uncultured bacterium. Its description in RNAcentral is "partial 16S ribosomal RNA". It matches the Rfam family "Bacterial small subunit ribosomal RNA", at positions 28 to 507 of the family's 1533-position model. The record is from RNAcentral.